Molecule: transfer RNA, 68 nt
Filed under: Endochironomus tendens
Lineage: Eukaryota; Metazoa; Arthropoda; Insecta; Diptera; Chironomidae
Description: tRNA-Phe
Source: RNAcentral
AUCUAAGUAGCUUAUAAAUAAGAGUAUAGUUUUGAAGCAGCUAGGGAAAUUAAUUUAAUUCUUAGAUA